GUGCCAGCAGCCGCGGUAAUACGAAGGGUGCAAGCGUUAGUCGGAAUUACUGGGCGUAAAGCGUGCGUAGGUGGUUUCUUAAGUCCGUUGUGAAAGCCCUGGGCUCAACCUGGGAACUGCAGUGGAUACUGAGAGGCUAGAGUGUGUCAGAGGAUGGUGGAAUUCCCGGUGUAGCGGUGAAAUGCGUAGAGAUCGGGAGGAACAUCAGUGGCGAAGGCGGCCAUCUGGGACAACACUGACGCUGAGGCACGAAAGCGUGGGGAGCAAACAGGAUUAGAAACCCGGGUAGUCC
This 292-nucleotide ribosomal RNA is filed under the name uncultured bacterium. Its description in RNAcentral is "partial 16S ribosomal RNA". It matches the Rfam family "Bacterial small subunit ribosomal RNA", at positions 505 to 796 of the family's 1533-position model. The record is from RNAcentral.